CCGCUGCUGCCGGCGCCUCUGAGGGCGUCGCUCGCCCGGGCCUGGACGCGCUGCCGGCGGGCGCAGCUGGUCCUCGCCGGAGAACGGCUUGAGGCUGCCGCGGCGUGGGGGCCUGGCUCUGUAGCGGGGCGGUUAAUGAAAGGGGGGUUGGCCUGCCAGAAGAGAAACGUUGUGGAGGACGAGCCCCCGCCCUCCCCCCGUGAAAGUAGGACCGGUGUCUCCCGAAAGCGCGAGGAAUUUAUCUCGUAGUUAAGAUCCACUUUUUGACCCCGGUUUUUCAAGCCACGUGGCUUGUUUUAGGCAGUCAGCUGGGCUUUGGAUUUGAGCUUGUAUCCCCUCUCCUUCCAGCACCCUAGGGUUAACGACGCCCUACGAAUGGCGUGCACAGCCCGAGGCACUGGGCACCAGGCAGGACUGUGGCGGAGGAUGACGCUCUCGCCCUCUCCCCUUGGGUGCGGUGCCAGGGCCGCUGCUGUGCCAGCAGGCCUCCCGUAGAGGUCCGUUUGGAUAGCAGACUGCUGGCCCAAGUCUCGCUGCUUGCAGCUCUUGUGCUGGUUUUGCCCCACCCCAGAAACAGAACAUGCCCUGGGGUGUUGGCCUUCCCCCCUCCCACCCCUCUGCAGAGUUGCUGAGGUCCUGCCUCCGGUUGGGCCUUACCCCUAGUGCAACACUUCUCCACUGGGGGCUGUACCCAGGUUGCAGGGGGUCCGCCCAGCCCAGCCUAGGGAGGAGCUGCCUUGGGCCCUGGGGCUGAGGGAGAGGCCCAAGGAAGGCAGGGGCAGGGCCGCCCCGCCCCGCCCCGCCCAGCCCAGCCCCACAGCCUCUCUCCUGCCAGCAGUGCUGCAGGCGGGUGGGUGAGGCUCCGUGCUGCUGCAGCCAAGUGAAUGGGGCCCCAAGGCUCCCCACCACUCAGCCCUGCCUCUUUGCACCCUGGGGCCAUGCGGGCAGGGCUGGGGAGCCAGGCAGUUAUUGUGGGACAGAUUCCAUUUCCUCCUUCCAAAAGCCGGGAAACAUCCUCGCUUGUCACCCACAGAAGAUGUGCUUCUUAUCAAGCUAGGACAAAAGAUGAGCUCAGAUUGCUCCAGAAGAUUAAGCUUACUCUUCUUGACUCACUUAAAGCAAGCCAGGACAAGUUAGAUACAGCCUUCAUGCAGUUGUCCUUGCAAACAGUAGCAGUCCGUGGUAUCUUAUGGAUCUGUGACACCAUCUUAUACGUCUGCUGAAAUCUAAUGCAUUUCUUUUUGUUUUUUCAAGAUGUCUACAGUCCAUGAAAUUCUAACCAAACUCAGCCUUGAAGGAGAU
This is a long non-coding RNA of Crocodylus porosus (Australian saltwater crocodile), 1302 nucleotides long. The record is from Ensembl. NCBI's taxonomy places the organism in Eukaryota, Metazoa, Chordata, Crocodylia, Crocodylidae.